ACACAUGCAGUCGAGGGGUAUAGUAGCAAUACUAGAGACCGGCGCACGGGUGCGUAACGCGUAUGCAAUCUACCUUUUACAGGGGAAUAGCCCAGAGAAAUUUGGAUUAAUGCCCCAUGGUAUUAUAGAAUGGCAUCAUUUUAUAAUUAAAGUUCCAACGGUAAAAGAUGAGCAUGCGUCCCAUUAGCUUGUUGGUAAGGUAACGGCUUACCAAGGCUACGAUGGGUAGGGGUCCUGAGAGGGAGAUCCCCCACACUGGUACUGAGACACGGACCAGACUCCUACGGGAGGCAGCAGUGAGGAAUAUUGGACAAUGGGCGCAAGCCUGAUCCAGCCAUGCCGCGUGCAGGAUGACGGUCCUAUGGAUUGUAAACUGCUUUUGCACAGGAAGAAACACUUGCUCGUGAGCAAGCUUGACGGUACUGUGAGAAUAAGGAUCGGCUAACUCCGUGCCAGCAGCCGCGGUAAUACGGAGGAUCCAAGCGUUAUCCGGAAUCAUUGGGUUUAAAGGGUCCGUAGGCGGGCUCGUAAGUCAGUGGUGAAAGCCCAUCGCUCAACGAUGGAACGGCCAUUGAUACUGCGAGUCUUGAAUUACUUGGAAGUAACUAGAAUAUGUAGUGUAGCGGUGAAAUGCUUAGAGAUUACAUGGAAUACCAAUUGCGAAGGCAGGUUACUACAAGUUGAUUGACGCUGAUGGACGAAAGCGUGGGUAGCGAACAGGAUUAGAUACCCUGGUAGUCCACGCCGUAAACGAUGGAUACUAGCUGUUCGGAGCAAUCUGAGUGGCUAAGCGAAAGUGAUAAGUAUCCCACCUGGGGAGUACGUUCGCAAGAAUGAAACUCAAAUGAAUUGACGG
RNAcentral lists this ribosomal RNA (856 nucleotides) under uncultured Flavobacterium sp. RNAcentral describes it as "bacterial SSU rRNA". It matches the Rfam family "Bacterial small subunit ribosomal RNA", at positions 51 to 916 of the family's 1533-position model. The record is from RNAcentral. Lineage: Bacteria; Pseudomonadati; Bacteroidota; Flavobacteriia; Flavobacteriales; Flavobacteriaceae.